This 2300-nucleotide long non-coding RNA is filed under the name Olea europaea subsp. europaea. Lineage: Eukaryota; Viridiplantae; Streptophyta; Magnoliopsida; Lamiales; Oleaceae. The record is from RNAcentral.
UGAGUUUACAAAACAAUGUAAGGCCUUAUACUUCAACAUUGCUUUUGCUUUGUUUAUCAAUUGGAUGCAACUCAUAUAGAAUUUUUUUUUUUUUUUUUUUUUUAAAUCAUCUAUUGACUUGCGCAAUUUGUUGUUUUUACUGACCACAAGUGUAAUACAUGAAAGGGGUAUUUAUCAUUUCUUGGAGUCUCUUUCUAACAUUUAGUUGUGGUAUAGAACUUGGAGGUAAACGAGUCCUGGAACAUGGAGGUAAACGAGUCCUCAGAACUUUUAGCUAAUCUCAUUUAGGUUAAUAAACUUCAUAUUUCACCACUCUAUAGUUCAUCACCCAUCGCCCUUGGAAUUGAUGGAAUUCUUACUAGUUAAAAGAAAAGCUUGUCGCUUAGUUAACAUAUUGGCAACAUUAUAGGCACUGUUUACAUACUCUGUCACAACACUCACAUCUUGAACUUUAUCAUGGACUAAAUGGCAGUCAAGCUCUAUAUGCUUUGUCUGUCCAUGGAAAAUCGGGUUUGCUGCAAUGUGUAAAGUAGCUUUAUUAUAACAAAAUAGCAUAGCUGCUUGAGGAUAUUGUAUUUGCAAAUCAUGAAGUAUCUAAGCCAGCUUAAUUCAAAGAAUACAUUGGCCAUGGACCUAUUCACGGCCUCAGUCGAGGACCUUGAAAUUGUGUUCUGUUUCUUAGAUUUCCAAGAUGCCAAAGAAGAGCCAAUGAACGCACAAUACCUUGUUACUGAUCUUCUUGUAUCUAAGCAUGCCCCCAGUCCGAAUUACUAUAAGCUCUAAGCUUUAGGGUAGAUGUCGAAGAAUAAAAUAAUCAUGGUCCUGGUGCUUGUUUAAUGUAUCUCAAUGCUUUGUGAGCUGCAUUCAAAUAAGGAAGCAUGGGAUUCUGCAUAAAUUGGCUCAAUAAUUAGACUACAUAUGAUAUGUCAGGUAUGGUUAUGGUUAUGGUCAAAUAGAGCAACCUUCCAAUGAGUCUUCUGUAAAUAGAAGUACUUGGGAUAAGUUCUUCUUCUUCAUCCUUCAAAAGCUUGAGGUUUUGAUCAAGUGGUAUUUUGGUUGGUUUUGAGCAAAUUGUUCCAGAAUUUGCCAAUAUGUCUAGCUCAUAUUUUCUUUGGCAAAUAUAAAUCCCCUUUUAUGAUCUUGCUGUCUCUACACCGAGAAAAUUCUUCAAUUACCCCAGAUCUUUGAUUUUGAAUCUGUCAUUAAGAGAGGCUUUGAGAGAUGAGACGAUGUCCAUGUCAUUGCCAGAUACUAUGAUGUUGUCAACCUAAACUAAAACUUUAUUGAAGAAUUCUUUGAUUGUCUUUGAAUAAGCUAGAAUGUACCUUUGAUUGUUGAAAGCCUUGUUGAACAAUAAAAUCAGAUGACUUAGAAUUCCAUUAUUGUGAAGCUUGCUUUGAACCAUACAAACUUUUAUUAAGCUAACAAAACUUUGCCUGGCCCUCCUUCGAAUACCCUUGUGGCAUUUCCAUAUAUACUUUCUCCUCCAGAUCUCCAUGGAAGAAUACAUUAUUUACUUCAAACUGGUACAAAUACCUGCCUUUAGAUGCUGCCAUGACAAGUAAGGUAUGAGUAGUUACCAUUUUUGUAAUAGGGAAGAAGGUUUCACGACAGUCUAGUCCUUCUUGCUAAGUAUGUCCUUUAGCUACUAGUCUGACUUUAUAAUUUCCAAUACUUCCAUCGACAUUGAAUUUAAAUUUGUAAACCUUCUUUCAACCUAUAGCUACCUUUUGUCCUUUCCAUGAGGCAAAUCGAUAAUAACCCAAGUGCCAUUCAAUUCUAGAAUAUGCAUCUCAGCUUUUACAUCGUUACGCCACUCAACAUAUUUUUGGGCUUGUUGGUAGCAACUAGGUUUAGUAUGUGUUAAAAUGGAAGUGACAAAGGUUUUAUAAUUACUUGAUAGUUUAUGAUAUGACAAUAUAGCACGUAAAGGAGAGGGAGUACCUGACUUUGUAUGGACCUUAUCCUUGUUCGACUCCUGCAAAUGAGGAAGUGAUGCCCGCUGACAAAUGAAGUCUUGUGGAUGUGAGGGUGCUUUUCUAUUUCUGGUGGAUCGUCAAGGAAAAUGAUGGAUAAUGGUGGUAUCUUGGGAAGGCCCUGGAAUUGGUUUCAUCUCUUCUUCAUAAACAAUAUUUCCGGUGAGUGAUUUAUUUCUUCUGCAAUUCGAAUCUUGAGUUGGAGGCUUUGGUCAUUUGAGUAUUCUAAAUCAAUGUCAGUUGGUUGAGUGUGUUGGAAAUAAAAAAUUAUGGGAUGAAAGACUAGAGAUAAAAAUUCAGAAUACAAAAAUAUUUGUAUUAUAU